UACGUAGGGUGCGAGCGUUGUCCGGAAUUAUUGGGCGUAAAGAGCUUGUAGGUGGUUUGUCGCGUUGUUCGUGAAAUCUCACGGUUCAACUGUGAGCGUGCGGGCGAUACGGGCAGACUAGAGUACUGCAGGGGAGACUGGAAUUCCUGGUGUAGCGGUGGAAUGCGCAGAUAUCAGGAGGAACACCGGUGGCGAAGGCGGGUCUCUGGGCAGUAACUGACGCUGAGAAGCGAAAGCGUGGGGAGCGAACAGG
Molecule: ribosomal RNA, 253 nt
Filed under: uncultured bacterium
Lineage: Bacteria
Description: partial 16S ribosomal RNA
Rfam family: Bacterial small subunit ribosomal RNA
Source: RNAcentral